Hemicordylus capensis (graceful crag lizard) is the source of this 319-nucleotide long non-coding RNA. RefSeq lists it as uncharacterized. The transcript is spliced from 2 exons. NCBI's taxonomy places the organism in Eukaryota, Metazoa, Chordata, Lepidosauria, Squamata, Cordylidae. The record is from RefSeq and is a predicted model, not a curated record.
CACUCUCCUUCGCAAUUUCUGGUCCUUGCCCACCCUCCUCUGCUGUCAGCUCUAUCUCCGCCUCCAACUCCUCCUUGGGGUCUUCCAGAAUGCCCAUGACAAUACCUCUCAGGCAUUCAAGAAGGGGAGACAGGAACAGACUGUAUCUUAAUACCUCAGCAAAGAAAGAACUCUAAACAAGCCAACAACAACACCAAAAAGGAAAACAUCAAUUUGGACACAUGAGUGUGAGCAAGUCUCUGUAACCUUUUUAUUUCAUUUUGCAAAUUCUGUUAUUUGUGUUACGAAAGGAACUUUAAAGUGCAAAGUUAUCAUUUAA